UCUCCCUCGGCCCCUGGGGCUGGGGCUCUGGCUGUUCUCAGGGUGUGCUCCCCAAGAGUGCCGGACCAUGGUGUGGGGACCCGUGAGCUCCCUUCCAGCCUGUCUUCCUGGGGCUCUUUUCUGAGGGACCCAUCUGGCUGUUGCUGCCUUUGUGGGGACAGGUUUCAGGGACAGAGGGUGGAGGCUGCACCUGCUGGGGGUGAGGCAGCAUCUCCUAUCCCCAGCAGGGCCCCAGACCCCUCAGGAGCAGAACAAGGGGCGGCCAGCCUGCAAUUUCCACCUGCUGGCUGGUCCUUCUCCCCGGCCACUGCUUCCGUGCCUCCUCCAGGAGCCCUACUGGCCAGGGACUUCCCAUGUUUCCUGCAGUCUGCACCCUGGGGUCAGCCCUGGGGCAGAGGCCUGGGAGUGAGAGGAAACUGAGGCAUAGCCGGGUUAUGUGACCACCGAAGUCACACACCGCUGGGUGCCCGCCGCCCUUCAACACACACGGGGGGAGCUGGGAUGCCCUCUGCAGCAGGCAGAGCCGCAGCCCUGGGUGCUGAUGGACUCGGGGGCUUCACCUCAUCAGCCAACCAAGAGACCGGUACCCGAGGGCUGCCACCUGCUCACACACGCAGCCCUGCCUGGGCAGGGAGGGGCAGCCCUUCCCGGUGCUGGCUUCUGCCCUCCUUGGGAGGGGCUGGAGCCUGGCCAGAGGGGACCAGACAGGCUGUGCAGGUAGGACUGGGGACAAGAGGACAGUCCCAGGUCCCCAGGCAGUGGGGAGGUCACACCCCUCACAGUGAAUGCCAGGGAGUCUGACCCUGGGAGGCGUGGCCACGGGCUCCUAGGCCUCGCUGGGGUGGGUGCUCGGACUUGGGGUAAAGCAGACCCAGGAGGGGCGGCCUCUGCUCUCAGUGUGGGGGGAAAGCCCGCAGCUCAGGGUGGUGCUCAGCGAACACGUGGUUAACACAUGGCUCCCAGGGCGAGCCCUCAGUGGCUGGGGCAGGGCGGCCACCCUUCUUCCUCCGCUGCUCCCUGUCUUCAUUCUCAGCUUGCACCAUGAGCCUGGACCCCUUCCCAGCCUCCCAGGGCCUGUCCUCCUGGCCCUGACCUAUCGGAACCCACGGUCUUCCUGUGCUCUCCGCCCUGAAAAGCAGCUCCUCUCAGCGGAGGCACUGAGGAGGAGUGGCCUUCCUGGGGUCCAGGACCCCUACUUACCAUCCUGCUUGCUGCUAACGCUUCCCUAAGCUCCUCCGGCCUCGGUGUCAUCAUCUAACCAAGCAGGGCUGCAGACAGUAACAGGAUUGUGUGGGGACCCCUUGAGACCCGAUGGCUGGACAGCUAUGAGGUCAUUAUACAGGCCAUGGUCCUCCCUGUGGCACAAAGCCCUUCCUCACCCCCAGGUCAGACACGCGGUGCCCACAGGCCAGCCCAGAACCCCCACCUCCACAUCAGACCUCUCCUCACUGGGCCUAGGUGAAGGCCAGAGCCCACACUCACAUGGGGCCCUCGGGGCAUGGCAGCCCCAUCUCUGUUAGCUGGAGGAGGGACCUAGAAACUCCCUAAGUCUCAGUCCCAGCAUCCAUGAAACGCGAAAAACAGUUGCAACCCUCAGGAGCCGUGGUGGCUCAGCAGGGGACCCCAUGGCGCACACUGAGGGCCUGGGGCUCUGAGCAGCAGCCCAGCCCUCGCAGCCUUCCUCGGCUGCACCGUGUCCCCCCACCCCACGCCGCAGGGCCAUCAUUCCUGGUGCUCCAGAAAGGCCUCAGGUCUCCGUCUGCACAGCGAGGGUGCUCGGAGGGCCUCCAUGUGGUGGGUCCCUCGUCCACGCCCGCCUCCUCCUCUGAGAGCAGAUUCCAAAGCCUUCCGCAGAGGUGACCGUAGGUCGGGGGCUGCUGGGACUCCAGGGUGACAGCUCUGGGCCUCUGGCAUCUCCCCAAGCCCAUCCGAGCGCUGAGUCCCCAGGGCAUCUUCCGCCCCAGCCCUUCGGAAUUCAGGAGAUUGCCGCAUAGGUUUUCUCUGCCCCUUUGCUGUCAGUUGAGACAGAAAGUUCCUCUUGCUCAACCUGCCAGGCAUCUCUCCCCAGCAGUUCUGUGGGCGGUCAUGUCACACAGCACGCCUGCCCCCGCUCACCAAGCUUGCAAGGGUCUGUCUGCCAGAGCAGGCGCCAGGGUCACAGCCACCUGCACAGUGGCACCAGUCCUUAGCUACCUGCAGCAGGGGCCUGGAGCUCUGGCCAAGCCCAGAGAGACCACCUGCACCCGGGAGGGGCGGGAGAGCUUCCUGGAGGGAGCCCUGGGAGCUCCUGCAGGCUGGCUCUGGGCCCGUGGGGCCCACUGACCACCCUCUGCAUGCUGAGGCUUUGCCCUCAGAGAACCCCACUGGGCCACCCUGCACGGGGAUGAUAUGGGUGAUAACUGCACCGCUGUACCUGUUUACUGGCGAGCACCCCGUGUUGUCAGCGUGCGGUGUGUGUGAGAACACCACCAUCCUGUGAGGUCGGCCCCAUCACCACCCCACUUUACAGGUGGGGUCACAGAGGCUCAGAGAGACUAAGCAGUUCGCCUAAGGCUGCACAGCCAGUGAGAGUCAGGGUUUGAACUCCGGAAGUGUCCCAGUGGGCAAAGGCCUGGAUUAAUCCUGGGAGAAACUGGCACUGCCUGUGUGCCAGGGUGACAGGUGUGCCCUCAGAAGGGUGAGGCCCCUUAUCACAGAGGCCCUCACCCCACCCACGCCUGGAGGGGAACAUCGCGGUGAGGGUCCAGGCUCGCCGAGCAACCGCGGUGCUGUAGGCGCAGGCUUCUCUCACCCCCAGGAGGGCAGCCAGUGGGUACCUGAACGUGAUGGUCACCUCCCAUCACCCACAGUCAGUAAGCUCCGAGGACCCUGGCCCAGUGCCCAACUCAGCCACUGGCCCACUACGCGGGUACCCCUAAGUGACAUGAGGAAGGGCACAGGCAGGGGCCAUCUGUGGCCGUUAGAUACCUGGUUCCCUUCUCGGGGAUGGCUUCACAAGCAAGAGUUGCCCACGCCCGGCCACACUAGGAACAGUCCUGACGGGAAGGCGGUGGACAACCCCGGCUGCCCAGGAGCUGUCCUUCCCUUCGUGGAGCUCUCCCGACCAGAGCCCCCCCAGGGUGGGCACCUGGACAGGACCAAGGGGAGAGAGAGGUGCUAUCCACCGGCUGUGGUGUGCCGCGGAGCGCCAGGGCCGUGUAAGGUUUUACCUACCCCGUCUGCGAGAGGGAGAAGCAACCCAGACCAGGUCUCCACGCCAGUCCUCCCCAGGUCUCCGCUGGCCCGGAUCACAGGCACGCCCACUAUGCUCAGAGCAGUCCGUUCCCGGGUACCAGCCCAUGACCUCUCCCGUGAGGGCCCAGGGGCUCUCCCGUGCCGCUUUCUGGCCCAGCUCAGUACUGGAAAGCGCGGCCGGCCACCCAGCCCGUACUGCCCUCCACGGGGUCGAGGGGUGUCUUCACUUCCUGGGAAGGUAAACCAAGGGCUGCUCAAGAGACAUCUGCUGGGCUCCCUUACCAGCGACUUCCAGAGCCUCCUAUGGGCCAUCCGCUGUAUUUGGUGCUGAUCUGAGGGAUGUUUCUACCCUCUUUAAUCUGCAUGGGAACCACCAACGACCACUGUAACCAGCGCUGGUUACCGACGGGCGGUGUCCCCAAGCUCGGUGUCCCACGUCUGUCUCUGGGUCUAUGUACAUGAGUAGUGCGCACUCAGGUAGGCGCCAGGGAGCGCCCCUGCGAACCAGAUCCAAAGGGAAGGACUCUGAGGCGAGGGCAAAGGCAUAGCAAUGUUGCCAUGGGAACCGCUUGUCAUCCAUGUGGAAAACACACAUGUAGGCAGGAAAGGUCAGAGCAUGUCCUUCAAGCUGGCUUCCCACUCUGAUUCCCACCAGGCAGAGGGGACACCCCAGGCUUCUCUGAAUCGUGCCAUGCUGGUGCUGAAGACAGCUAGACGGGACUUACAGAACACCUGGCCAGGGACCCUGGGCAGCUCGGAGUUGCAGGGUCCCGUCUGCUGUAGCUCCCAGCAGUAGUCUGUGCUACUAAGGGCAGGAGCAAGCCAGGCACCAGUGGUCGACUGCCACCACACAGCCUCAGUGCUGCCAUUGCCCUCCUGUCCCCAGUGAGCACCUACAUGCCCAGCGAGGCUGCACCAGCUGUCAGGGCCAGGGCAGGUACCAAGGGCCGAAGCCUUGCUGCCUCCUCCCGCACCCCAUUGCAUCGUGCACCUGCAGACCGAGUGCUUCUCAUGCCUCUGUCCAGGCGUCCUGUGCAGUGCCUCCACUGGGGCAUGUCCCACCCUGCCCAGUGCCCAUCAUGGAGCUGUGCACCCUCCAGCCCUCAGCUCUCCCAGGAGGGUUCUAAUGCAGUGCCCACUCCGGCUGCGGGCUCCUCUCUCACUGCUUUCUGCAGGCCUCCAUCUCCAAGCACCCUGCACAGUCCCCGCCCAGCAGCACCUGCAGGCCCCUCGCACUGACCCAGGAGUUACUCUCUGCACGUCCAUGAUACCAGACCCUCAUGGGAGCGGACGUCUGAGUCUGCCCGUCCCUCCCAUCUGUGACAAGCUCACUCCAAGCCAGCACCAGGCCACCAUCUGGGUCAGCCCUGCGCCAGCCUCCUGUCAAGUCCUACCAAGUCUUCCACUUGGCCCUCUCUCCUCCUCCUCCCCUUCCCAAUGGGCACCCACAACUCCGAGACUCUCCUUCAUGCUCUUGGCCCCUAUUGUUGGCAUGUGGGUAGGCCCGGCCCAGCAUGUACCAUUCACCCCAUUCCAACAUGCCUCCCUGCUUGGCCAGGGCUGCCUCUGGCCAAGGAAGGAGUCAUCUUUGUACCUCUCGUAGCACCAGCCAAUAAAUUCAACAAAGAGAGGCUCGUGGUCCUCAGAACUAGUCAAGCCUGAGUUUAAGCCGCCCACGCCCCUCUGAGCCCUGGGUUCCCGCCCAUGGAAAGGGGAUGGAAGGCAGCCCGUGAGGUCUGAGAACCAGAUGCAGCAGGUGAUCCUUGUGGCCAAGUAGAACCCAGGAAAUGACAGCUCACACUCCCCCACCCGCCCCAACGGCAGCAGCAUCCCACAGACCCGAGGUGCCCCUUCCUGGUCUUGGGUGGGCCCAACUUCCUGAGCUGGGCCCAGGGGCCCGCAGAGCUGGCCGCGUCUGUCACGGCCUCCCUGAAAGUAGUCAGCCUCUCUGGCGUGUUUACUCCACCAACCCUUCUCUGUUCAUUUCUCUGGAAUAAUUAUCCUAAAAAUCAGUUUGAUUUUCAAACUUUUAAAAUUAAAAAUGGAACCUUUAAUAAUUGUUUGGACAACUGUCCAACAGUCAGUGGUUUCACUGACUCAAAGCCCACAUUUUAAGAAACAUUGUUAAAUGAAAACCAACCAAAAUAUUUUCAAAACAUGUUUUUAAAGUUUAUUUCUCCAGAGCGUGGGAGGGGGUCACCCCCAACAGGGCCUCACACAGGACCCGCCCAGCCCUCCCGGCCAGCCAAGUCACCGGAGCACACGUGUGUGCAUAGCUUAGGUUGGCCUGGGAACCAAACCCCGCCGUCCACAUGGAGGAAGCAUGGCAGAGCUGUGGCCACCACCGCGUCACCAGCUGACCCUCAGAACCUUUCGGCAACUCAAUGGGGAUAUUUUAGGGACUAACAUCACAUGUUUGGAAGGGAAAUUUAUCUCAAGUUCAGCAUAACCUGAGUUUCGAUUCAUUUUUAACAUUCUGUGUAAUGGAAUCAAAUUAAAUUUAUUACAUUAAAAAAGAAAA
Tupaia belangeri chinensis (Chinese tree shrew) is the source of this 5755-nucleotide long non-coding RNA. RefSeq lists it as uncharacterized. The transcript is spliced from 2 exons. The record is from RefSeq and is a predicted model, not a curated record. NCBI's taxonomy places the organism in Eukaryota, Metazoa, Chordata, Mammalia, Scandentia, Tupaiidae.